RNAcentral lists this ribosomal RNA (253 nucleotides) under uncultured bacterium. RNAcentral's name for it is "partial 16S ribosomal RNA". It matches the Rfam family "Bacterial small subunit ribosomal RNA", at positions 524 to 776 of the family's 1533-position model. The record is from RNAcentral.
GACGUAGGUGGCGAACGUUAUCCGGAUUUAUUGGGCGUAAAGGGUGCGUAGGCGGCGCGGUAAGUCGGGUGUGAAAUCUCGGAGCUUAACUUCGAAACUGCAUUCGAUACUGCCGUGCUUGAGGACUGGAGAGGAGACUGGAAUUUACGGUGUAGCGGUGAAAUGCGUAGAUAUCGUAAGGAAGACCAGUGGCGAAGGCGGGUCUCUGGACAGUUCCUGACGCUGAGGCACGAAGGCCAGGGGAGCAAACGGG